RNAcentral lists this unclassified non-coding RNA (21 nucleotides) under Mus musculus (house mouse). RNAcentral describes it as "oocyte_clustered_small_RNA11383". Lineage: Eukaryota; Metazoa; Chordata; Mammalia; Rodentia; Muridae. The record is from RNAcentral.
UUGGGCACCUUCUGGCUUUGG